Molecule: RNase P RNA, 321 nt
Filed under: pig gut metagenome
Description: Bacterial RNase P class A
Rfam family: Bacterial RNase P class A
About the family: Ribonuclease P (RNase P) is a ubiquitous endoribonuclease, found in archaea, bacteria and eukarya as well as chloroplasts and mitochondria. Its best characterised activity is the generation of mature 5'-ends of tRNAs by cleaving the 5'-leader elements of precursor-tRNAs. Cellular RNase Ps are ribonucleoproteins.
Source: RNAcentral
GACAAUCGCGAGCAUGGCUCGAGGAAAGUCCGAGCUCCGCAGGGCAGAGUGCCGGAUAACGUCCGGCGAGGGUGACCUCAGGGACAGUGCCACAGAAAUGCAAACCGCCGGCAACGGUAAGGGUGGAACGGUGCGGUAAGAGCGCACCGGCGAUGGGGUAACUCAUCGGCCAGGUAAACCCCACUCGGAGCAAGACCGAAUAGAAAAGGGAGGAAGUUGCCCGCUGACCUUUUGGGUGUGUCGCUUGAACGGCAAGGCGACUUGUCGUCUAGAUAGAUGAUUGUCACCGUGUAAACGGAACAGAACUCGGCUUAUUGAUCA